UACGAGGGGUGCAAGCGUUGUUCGGAUUCAUUGGGCGUAAAGGGUGCGUAGGUGGCGCUGUAAGUCGGGUGUGAAAUUUCGGAGCUUAACUCCGAAACUGCAUUCGAUACUGCGGUGCUUGAGGACUGGAGAGGAGACUGGAAUUCAUGGUGUAGCAGUGAAAUGCGUAGAGAUCAUGAGGAAGACCAGUGGCGAAGGCGGGUCUCUGGACAGUUCCUGACACUGAGGCACGAAGGCCAGGGGAGCAAACGGG
RNAcentral lists this ribosomal RNA (253 nucleotides) under uncultured bacterium. RNAcentral describes it as "partial 16S ribosomal RNA". It matches the Rfam family "Bacterial small subunit ribosomal RNA", at positions 524 to 776 of the family's 1533-position model. The record is from RNAcentral.